GAUGAACGCUGGCGGCGUGCCUAACACAUGCAAGUCGAGCGAACCCUUCGGGGUGAGCGGCGGACGGGUGAGUAACGCGUGGGUAACCUGCCCUAUACACACGGAUAACGUACCGAAAGGUACGCUAAUACGGGAUAAAGUUGUUGGAUGGCAUCUUCUAACAAUCAAAGCUCCGGCGGUAUAGGAUGGACCCGGGUCUGAUUAGCUAGUUGGUGAGGUAAUGGCUCACCAAGGCGACGAUCAGUAGCCGACCUGAGAGGGUGAUCGGCCACACUGGAACUGAGACACGGUCCAGACUCCUACGGAAGGCAGCAGUGGGGAAUAUUGCACAAUGGGCGAAAGCCUGAUGCAGCAACGCCGCGUGAGCGAUGAGGGUCUUCGGAUCGUAAAGCUCUGUCCUCAAGGAAGAUAAUGACGGUACUUGAGGAGGAAGCCCCGGCUAACUACGUGCCAGCAGCCGCCGUAA
RNAcentral lists this ribosomal RNA (466 nucleotides) under uncultured bacterium. Its description in RNAcentral is "partial 16S ribosomal RNA". It matches the Rfam family "Bacterial small subunit ribosomal RNA", at positions 28 to 523 of the family's 1533-position model. The record is from RNAcentral.